UGGCAGAGGUGAGUGAGCACUUCCAGCACUUUAUCUGUUUCUUGAAACAUCUCUGCUUCUGGAGCCUUGGUUUUCUCCAAUUCCUUCAGCAC
Molecule: microRNA precursor, 92 nt
Filed under: Procavia capensis (Cape rock hyrax)
Lineage: Eukaryota; Metazoa; Chordata; Mammalia; Hyracoidea; Procaviidae
Description: miRNA (ENSPCAG00000019402.1)
Source: RNAcentral